UCCGAUGUGGUGUAGUGGCUAACAUUGCUGUCUUUCAUAUUCAUCCACUUUCGGGGUCCACAGCAGCCCGGGGUUCGAUUUCCCGCAUCGGAA
Non-coding RNA from Marasmius tenuissimus, 93 nucleotides. NCBI's taxonomy places the organism in Eukaryota, Fungi, Basidiomycota, Agaricomycetes, Agaricales, Marasmiaceae. The record is from the annotation of a GenBank genome assembly.